RNAcentral lists this ribosomal RNA (429 nucleotides) under Gemmatimonadota bacterium. Its description in RNAcentral is "Gemmatimonadetes bacterium partial 16S ribosomal RNA". It matches the Rfam family "Bacterial small subunit ribosomal RNA", at positions 355 to 776 of the family's 1533-position model. The record is from RNAcentral. Lineage: Bacteria; Pseudomonadati; Gemmatimonadota.
UAGGGAAUCUUCGGCAAUGGACGAAAGUCUGACCGAGCAACGCCGCGUGAGUGAAGAAGGUUUUCGGAUCGUAAAACUCUGUUGUUAGAGAAGAACAAGGACGUUAGUAACUGAACGUCCCCUGACGGUAUCUAACCAGACAGCCACGGCUAACUACGUGCCAGCAGCCGCGGUAAUACGUAGGUGGCAAGCGUUGUCCGGAUUUAUUGGGCGUAAAGCGAGCGCAGGCGGUUUCUUAAGUCUGAUGUGAAAGCCCCCGGCUCAACCGGGGAGGGUCAUUGGGAACUGGGAGACUGGAGUGCAGAAGAGGGGAGUGGAAUUCCAAGUGUAGCGGUGAGAUGCGUAGAUAUAUGGAGGAACACCAGUGGCGAGGGCGGCUCGCUGGUCUGUAACUGACGCUGAGGCUCGAAAGCGUGGGGAGCAAACAGG